UAGUUAUGUUCUUUAAACCUAAAGAAUUUGGCGGUGUUUUAGUCUAUUUAGAGGAAUUUGUCCCUUGAUCGAUAAUCCCCGUUUUAUCUUACUUAACUUUGUUAUCAGUAUGUAUACCGCUGUUAUAAGUUUAUUUUUUUAGAAUUAUUUACUUAUUUUAUUAUUUUAAUUUAUUUCAAGUCAAGGUGCAGCUUAUAGUUAAGUGGUGAUGAAUUACAAUAUAUUUGAAUAUAAUGGAUUUAAUUUUUAAAAUUUUAAUGAAGGUGGAUUUAAUAGUAAUUUUAUCAAUAUUGUUAUUUUGAUUUUAGCUCUAAAAUAAGUACACAUCGCCCGUCGCUCUA
Molecule: ribosomal RNA, 341 nt
Filed under: Calvisia marmorata
Lineage: Eukaryota; Metazoa; Arthropoda; Insecta; Phasmatodea; Lonchodidae
Description: partial small subunit ribosomal RNA
Source: RNAcentral